Non-coding RNA from Cryptosporidium ubiquitum, 72 nucleotides. NCBI's taxonomy places the organism in Eukaryota, Apicomplexa, Conoidasida, Eucoccidiorida, Cryptosporidiidae. The record is from Rfam.
GGCCCUGUAGUGUAAUGGUUAUCACCCAGGAUUCUGAUUCCUGUGAUCUGGGUUCGAUUCCCAGCAGGGCCU